RNAcentral lists this ribosomal RNA (253 nucleotides) under uncultured bacterium. RNAcentral's name for it is "partial 16S ribosomal RNA". It matches the Rfam family "Bacterial small subunit ribosomal RNA", at positions 524 to 776 of the family's 1533-position model. The record is from RNAcentral.
UACAGAGGCCUCGAGCGUUAGGCGGAAUCACUGGGCUUAAAGCGUGUGUAGGCGGAUUGGUAAGUACCUUGUGAAAUCCCACAGCUUAACUGUGGAACUGCUCGGUAUACUGCUGAUCUUGAGCCACUCAGGGGCUACCGGAACAAAUGGUGGAGCGGUGAAAUGCGUAGAUAUCAGGAGGAACACCCGUGGCGAAAGCGGCUCUCUGGGACGGUACUGACGCUGAGACGCGAAAGCGUGGGGAGCAAACAGG